UCCCUUGUAGCUCAGUAGGUAAAGAAUCUGCCUGCAGUGCAGAAAACCUGGGUUCGAUCCCUGGGGUGGGAA
RNAcentral lists this transfer RNA (72 nucleotides) under Bos taurus (domestic cattle). It matches the Rfam family "tRNA". From Rfam's summary of the family: Transfer RNA (tRNA) molecules are approximately 80 nucleotides in length. The record is from Rfam by way of RNAcentral. Lineage: Eukaryota; Metazoa; Chordata; Mammalia; Artiodactyla; Bovidae. RNAcentral also lists the same sequence under 2 other names.